RNAcentral lists this ribosomal RNA (450 nucleotides) under uncultured bacterium. RNAcentral's name for it is "bacterial SSU rRNA". It matches the Rfam family "Bacterial small subunit ribosomal RNA", at positions 354 to 796 of the family's 1533-position model. The record is from RNAcentral.
GUGGGGAAUAUUGGACAAUGGGCGAAAGCCUGAUCCAGCCAUGCCGCGUGUGUGAAGAAGGUCUUCGGAUUGUAAAGCACUUUAAGUUGGGAGGAAGGGCAGUAAGCUAAUACCUUGCUGUUUUGACGUUACCGACAGAAUAAGCACCGGCUAACUUCGUGCCAGCAGCCGCGGUAAUACGAAGGGUGCAAGCGUUAAUCGGAAUUACUGGGCGUAAAGCGCGCGUAGGUGGUUUUGUAAGUUGGAGGUGAAAUCCCCGGGCUCAACCUGGGAACUUCCUCCAAAACUGCAUGACUAGAGUACGGUAGAGGGUAGUGGAAUUUCCUGUGUAGCGGUGAAAUGCGUAGAUAUAGGAAGGAACACCAGUGGCGAAGGCGACUACCUGGACUGAUACUGACACUGAGGUGCGAAAGCGUGGGGAGCAAACAGGAUUAGAUACCCGAGUAGUCC